RNAcentral lists this ribosomal RNA (473 nucleotides) under Pseudomonas sp. oral taxon D11. RNAcentral describes it as "bacterial SSU rRNA". It matches the Rfam family "Bacterial small subunit ribosomal RNA", at positions 30 to 497 of the family's 1533-position model. Lineage: Bacteria; Pseudomonadati; Pseudomonadota; Gammaproteobacteria; Pseudomonadales; Pseudomonadaceae. The record is from RNAcentral.
AUUGAACGCUGGCGGCAGGCCUAACACAUGCAAGUCGAGCGGUAGAGAGGAGCUUGCUCCUCUUGAGAGCGGCGGACGGGUGAGUAAUGCCUAGGAAUCUGCCUGGUAGUGGGGGAUAACGUUCGGAAACGGACGCUAAUACCGCAUACGUCCUACGGGAGAAAGCAGGGGACCUUCGGGCCUCGCGCUAUCAGAUGAGCCUAGGUCGGAUUAGCUAGUUGGUGAGGUAAUGGCUCACCAAGGCGACGAUCCGUAACUGGUCUGAGAGGAUGAUCAGUCACACUGGAACUGAGACACGGUCCAGACUCCUACGGGAGGCAGCAGUGGGGAAUAUUGGACAAUGGGCGAAAGCCUGAUCCAGCCAUGCCGCGUGUGUGAAGAAGGUCUUCGGAUUGUAAAGCACUUUAAGUUGGGAGGAAGGGCAGUAAAUUAAUACUUUGCUGUUUUGACGUACCGACAGAAUAAGCACCGCA